UUAAGCGACUAAGCGUACACGGUGGAUGCCCUGGCAGUCAGAGGCGAUGAAGGACGUGCUAAUCUGCGAUAAGCGCCGGUAAGGUGAUAUGAACCGUUAUAACCGGCGAUUUCCGAAUGGGGAAACCCAGUGUGACUCGUCACACUAUCAUUAACUGAAUCCAUAGGUUAAUGAGGCGAACCGGGGGAACUGAAACAUCUAAGUACCCCGAGGAAAAGAAAUCAACCGAGAUUCCCCCAGUAGCGGCGAGCGAACGGGGAGGAGCCCAGAGCCUGAAUCAGCAUGUGUGUUAGUGGAAGCGUCUGGAAAGGCGCGCGAUACAGGGUGACAGCCCCGUACACAAAAGCGCAUAUGCUGUGAGCUCGAUGAGUAGGGCGGGACACGUGGUAUCCUGUCUGAAUAUGGGGGGACCAUCCUCCAAGGCUAAAUACUCCUGACUGACCGAUAGUGAACCAGUACCGUGAGGGAAAGGCGAAAAGAACCCCGGCGAGGGGAGUGAAAAAGAACCUGAAACCGUGUACGUACAAGCAGUGGGAGCACCCUUUUGGGUGUGACUGCGUACCUUUUGUAUAAUGGGUCAGCGACUUAUAUUCUGUAGCAAGGUUAACCGAAUAGGGGAGCCGGAGGGAAACCGAGUCUUAAUUGGGCGUUAAGUUGCAGGGUAUAGACCCGAAACCCGGUGAUCUAGCCAUGGGCAGGUUGAAGGUUGGGUAACACUAACUGGAGGACCGAACCGACUAAUGUUGAAAAAUUAGCGGAUGACCUGUGGCUGGGGGUGAAAGGCCAAUCAAACCGGGAGAUAGCUGGUUCUCCCCGAAAGCUAUUUAGGUAGCGCCUCGUGAAUUCAUCUCCGGGGGUAGAGCACUGUUUCGGCUAGGGGGCCAUCCCGGCUUACCAACCCGAUGCAAACUGCGAAUACCGGAGAAUGUUAUCACGGGAGACACACGGCGGGUGCUAACGUCCGUCGUGAAGAGGGAAACAACCCAGACCGCCAGCUAAGGUCCCAAAGUCAUGGUUAAGUGGGAAACGAUGUGGGAAGGCCCAGACAGCCAGGAUGUUGGCUUAGAAGCAGCCAUCAUUUAAAGAAAGCGUAAUAGCUCACUGGUCGAGUCGGCCUGCGCGGAAGAUGUAACGGGGCUAAACCAUGCACCGAAGCUGCGGCAGCGACGCUGAUGCGUUGUUGGGUAGGGGAGCGUUCUGUAAGCCUGUGAAGGUGUGUCGUGAGGCAUGCUGGAGGUAUCAGAAGUGCGAAUGCUGACAUAAGUAACGAUAAAGCGGGUGAAAAGCCCGCUCGCCGGAAGACCAAGGGUUCCUGUCCAACGUUAAUCGGGGCAGGGUGAGUCGACCCCUAAGGCGAGGCCGAAAGGCGUAGUCGAUGGGAAACGGGUUAAUAUUCCCGUACUUGGUGUUACUGCGAAGGGGGGACGGAGAAGGCUAUGUUGGCCGGGCGACGGUUGUCCCGGUUUAAGCGUGUAGGUGUGUGUUCCAGGUAAAUCCGGUUCACUUUAACACUGAGGCGUGAUGACGAGGCACUACGGUGCUGAAGCAACAAAUGCCCUGCUUCCAGGAAAAGCCUCUAAGCAUCAGGUAACAUCAAAUCGUACCCCAAACCGACACAGGUGGUCAGGUAGAGAAUACCAAGGCGCUUGAGAGAACUCGGGUGAAGGAACUAGGCAAAAUGGUGCCGUAACUUCGGGAGAAGGCACGCUGACAUGUAGGUGAAGUGAUUUACUCAUGGAGCUGAAGUCAGUCGAAGAUACCAGCUGGCUGCAACUGUUUAUUAAAAACACAGCACUGUGCAAACACGAAAGUGGACGUAUACGGUGUGACGCCUGCCCGGUGCCGGAAGGUUAAUUGAUGGGGUCAGCGCAAGCGAAGCUCCUGAUCGAAGCCCCGGUAAACGGCGGCCGUAACUAUAACGGUCCUAAGGUAGCGAAAUUCCUUGUCGGGUAAGUUCCGACCUGCACGAAUGGCGUAAUGAUGGCCAGGCUGUCUCCACCCGAGACUCAGUGAAAUUGAACUCGCUGUGAAGAUGCAGUGUACCCGCGGCAAGACGGAAAGACCCCGUGAACCUUUACUAUAGCUUGACACUGAACAUUGAGCCUUGAUGUGUAGGAUAGGUGGGAGGCUUUGAAGUGUGGACGCCAGUCUGCAUGGAGCCGACCUUGAAAUACCACCCUUUAAUGUUUGAUGUUCUAACGUGGACCCGUAAUCCGGGUUGCGGACAGUGUCUGGUGGGUAGUUUGACUGGGGCGGUCUCCUCCUAAAGAGUAACGGAGGAGCACGAAGGUUGGCUAAUCCUGGUCGGACAUCAGGAGGUUAGUGCAAUGGCAUAAGCCAGCUUGACUGCGAGCGUGACGGCGCGAGCAGGUGCGAAAGCAGGUCAUAGUGAUCCGGUGGUUCUGAAUGGAAGGGCCAUCGCUCAACGGAUAAAAGGUACUCCGGGGAUAACAGGCUGAUACCGCCCAAGAGUUCAUAUCGACGGCGGUGUUUGGCACCUCGAUGUCGGCUCAUCACAUCCUGGGGCUGAAGUAGGUCCCAAGGGUAUGGCUGUUCGCCAUUUAAAGUGGUACGCGAGCUGGGUUUAGAACGUCGUGAGACAGUUCGGUCCCUAUCUGCCGUGGGCGCUGGAGAACUGAGGGGGGCUGCUCCUAGUACGAGAGGACCGGAGUGGACGCAUCACUGGUGUUCGGGUUGUCAUGCCAAUGGCACUGCCCGGUAGCUAAAUGCGGAAGAGAUAAGUGCUGAAAGCAUCUAAGCACGAAACUUGCCCCGAGAUGAGUUCUCCCUGAGACUUUAAGUCUCCUGAAGGAACGUUGAAGACGACGACGUUGAUAGGCCGGGUGUGUAAGCGCAGCGAUGCGUUGAGCUAACCGGUACUAAUGAACCGUGAGGCUUAACCUU
This 2904-nucleotide ribosomal RNA is filed under the name Salmonella enterica subsp. enterica serovar Madelia. Its description in RNAcentral is "bacterial LSU rRNA". It matches the Rfam family "Bacterial large subunit ribosomal RNA". Lineage: Bacteria; Pseudomonadati; Pseudomonadota; Gammaproteobacteria; Enterobacterales; Enterobacteriaceae. The record is from RNAcentral.